Molecule: long non-coding RNA, 4497 nt
Organism: Mustela erminea (ermine)
Lineage: Eukaryota; Metazoa; Chordata; Mammalia; Carnivora; Mustelidae
Exons: 4
Source: RefSeq, a predicted model, not a curated record
UGCCAAGAACUCAACGAUGAUGCAAUGCCAUGAGAGCAAUGCAAAGGCUGCCCAUCUGAGAGUCUGAAGCAAAGGGAAUUAACUCCUGGUCCAGGGGAUGUAUAACCUGGCCUGGAAGGUGUUGUGCCUGUGUUGAGCUAGCUGGCUUGGAGGACCAUUGAUUAAAGGGGGAGUGAUUGCUUUUUGUCCUUUGGUAAGUGAAAGAACAGAAGAAGAUGAUUAUUUGGAAAAGAAGAAUCACCAGUCACUGGUUUUGGUGCACUCCCUUCAUCCAUCCAUCAUUAGACGGUGUUUCCCCAGAGAUGAUAAGAUGUGACUGCCUGAAGCAAAUGCAUAUUAUCUCUUCCUGGGCAGACCUUUCCUUCUUUCCAAGAUACUAUUGACUUCCUCCCGUUACCCUUAAUCAUCAGCAAAUGCCCCCUUAAAGUCCCCAGUGCGCAGGCUCCAUGUCAUGUCCAUGGACUUCUAUGCAUAUCAGCUUAGAGUUCAGCAUCAGAUGGAGGGAAGGCUGAAUCAACAUGAUGGCUUCCUUCCAAAAUAAAGGAGAAUGAAAAGACAAUGUAAAACAACACACCUAGAAACAUCUGUUAUUCUCAACCACAGUAUUGGAGGAUGGGCUGCCCAUGCAGUGAAGGUUAGGUAGCAGUACAGGAUCACAUUGAGAGAGGAUUCAUUGGCCAAUAUCUCAGACAAUUAAGGCAGAGCCCAGGACUCCAUCCUAAGUGGUGCACUCAGAUGAACAAAAUGAGCAGUUCUCUUCGAACACAGAAAUGGGGGGAGCUUUCCUGGAUUCUCUUUGGAAUGACUCUUUCAUACCAAGAAAGCGAGGGCUAAAUGAUGAAUUACUGUAACCCAGGCUUCUCACUGUGGCCAGAUAGAGUGACAGGGACCAGAUGUACUCUUUCACCUGAAACAACCUACUGAAAAAAGGAAAAAAUUUAUAAAACUAUGGUUUCUAAGAACCUGGACCUCAGACAACAGUGAUCCACGAAAGAUGGAAAACAAAUGACGUAAAUCCUACUGUUUCCCACACUUACUGCCCUGAGAGAGUUUCAGGCUCUGGAGCAGGAAGGGGUAACUCAGAGCCCAGUGGACACCCUGAACUGAGGAGAUGGGGUUGGGAAUCUGAGGAAGUCUAGGUGGCUAGAGUUUGUAGGGCAGACGGACACAGAGAGGACAGAGCUGCCCGGGCAGAGCAGCCUGGACAUCAGCAGAGGCGGACUAUGAGGAUAAGGCAGAACAUUGAUCAGUGUGGGCCAUGAGGAAACUGCUCCUGACUCAGGAAAAAACCACCAGAAAGACUACAGGAGAGAGUACCUGGUGCUCUGACAGGGGCAGAAAAGCAUCCAUUUCCACCAGACCAGACACCUCAACAUGUAUGAGGUGUUGGUAGAACACUCAGAGGAAUCUUGCCUGGGGGUGAGGGAUAUGCAACCCUAGAAUAAAUGCUGCUUUGGGCUUGUCUAAAGAUUGCUGAACAUUAGUCUCAAAAGAAGGAAGCCAUUUCAGGUAACACCAUCACCGAGGUUUGCAGGAAGCUAGCUUUUGGUGAGGAGAGUGGGAGAGAAGUCUGCAGUGUGGAAGGCACUGCAUGGCUUGCCUUGACUGCUGGUGAGAAAUCAUGGCUACAAAUGGCUAUGAGAACUCACACGCUUCACCCCACCACCAGCCAUGAUGAGAAUCCCUGCCAACUCCAGCCUGCCACCAGCAGCAGGUGAUCUGGAGAACUCUCACAUUCAGAGAUGAGCAAUAAACAGAAAAGCGCAGAAAAUCUGUCUUUGAAAGUAAUCAAAGGCACAGGAAAACCAAAAACAGGAUAUUACCAGAGAAGGAUACCUCAACAAGAGCACAUGUUCCAGAAGGUACCAUAAAUCAGAUGGAAAAUAUGACUAAACAGAUCACCAAAAUUUUUUGGGGGGGUAAAAUACAAAUGCUUUUGUCAAAUAAAAAUCCAAGGUAGAAAAAUAUGGAGGUGGCAGAGGCCCUGGAAGAUAAAGCAUGAGGAUAGAACGAGAUACAAUCAGGACUGGAGCACCUUACAAAAGAAAAGGAGGAGAAAAAUAAAACCAUCAUGGAAAGACAGGCACACUUACAGGACUGAAAAAACCAAACUGAUAAGCUAAUCAAUAAAUGAACAACCACAGCCUUAAGAGAUGUAGAGGUCGGUAUCCAGAAUAGUGAGCACAAAGAAAUGGAAUGAACACAAUUAAAAACAACGCAAAUGGUGAAUAUGAAAGAGAAGCAAGGGGAGUUGAGUAAGCACAGGUUGGCUCCAUAGAGAAAAGAAAUAAAAUGCGAGAUUAGAAAACUGGAUUUAAAUAUUAAGAAGACUUUUCAAAAAUAAAAGAAGAUUUGAAUCUUUUUCAGUAGUUCCUUUGCUUCUUUCAACACCCAACCCAAGACUGGUCUUCUCCAGAAAGCCUUUUACCCAACUGCACACUGAACUUACUCCAUUCUGGCAGCACAAAUUGGUAGAUGUUCUAAUGUUUCUUCCCUCCAGUUAUUAUGCUGCUGUUUUUAGUUUGGAGGAUAGGCAUUUUUGUGAAGACUGGGGCUGCAGCUUUCUCCUUUUAUGACCUCCUUUAUACCCUGUACAGACUAUUUCCAGAGUCGGUGCUGUGUAAACAAAUGGAACAAAUACAUAAAACACAAAUUUUCUCCAUGGCUUAAUGCAAGGGUCUCUGGGUACCGAUCUGGCAGUUCAGUCCUGUUGCUGAGGUUGCUAGUUAGCCCUCUGAUACUGAUUUUCUGGUAUUCUCUUAAAGGUAAGUGAUUAACUGAAGAAGGGCAAAUAUUUGAUCAGGACACUGGAAGCCAAAAUAUGCUUUUUUCCCCUCCUCUUCUCUAUUGCCAAAUAUUCUGAUUUAAUUAAAGGUGAAAGUACAGUCAAGAAUGCUGGACAGGAGUCAGGGCGCUGGAGUUGUCAUGAGGGGCUUAUCGCUGACCAGCCACGUGUCCUCACGUUAGUCACUUGAUCCUUGUUAUGUUGUAUCUUGGGACUAGAAUUGUUUCUGCCUCAUUGUAGACACUUAAUAAUUAUACUUCCAAUGAAAAAAUAGUCAGUCUCGGUUUCCUCCUCUGUAAAAUAACAAGUGCGUACUAGCAUGGUCUCUAAACACUCUUUUUACCAUAAAAACCUAAAAAUUACCUGCUUUCCUCUGGUUGGCAAGCAUUUAUGCUCUGUACUUUCGGUCGUAGUAAUUCGGUAAUGCCUGUUGUUUUUAUGGAGGAUGUGUUUGUACCCACACGUGCUGUUGACAUGAUCCAUGUAGAUUCAGUGUCCAUCCUCACUUGCACGACUUUCGAGAACAGCCAAAAAGUCCAGAGGGCACACUGAAGGAUUCUUACAGGAAGCUUAUAGCCUGUCUCCUUUGGCUAAUUUGCAAAAGCAUUUUUUGAUUUAAAACAGAAGGAGGGAGAAUCCCUGGGAGAAAACUCACAUCCACUAAUGUUCCUUCUGGAGUGAGUUAUGAAAGAAAGCCCCAGAUGGAUUAGAGACGAAGGUUAAACUUUGAGACACUAAUUUAUUGAAAAGGUAAAGAUAAAAGAACAAAAGUGCCCUGAAUGUUAUGUCCAUGUGUCCUUCUUGCCCCAUGCCCCAUGCAUUCCAGUAAUUUAAGGAUCUCUGAAAGGGAUAUGUGUUUCUAUAGAGAUGAUUUCAUGCAGAUCUCUAAAGAUAAUCUUUGGAAACAACUGAAAUGAUCAUUCUAAUUAGAUUCUCCAAUUAAACAAAAAAUGGACAAACUUUAAAGAAGAUAUUUCAGUUUGAAAACAGCAAGCCUAGCAGAACUGUUUGGGGGCAAAGGUAUCAAAGCCUACAGUGGUAUUCUGGAAAAAUAUUUUUGUGUACAGUGAAUUCAGUGAUGUUUAAAACCAUAUUUCAUCAAUUGGAAGUUACCCAUUAUUUGUACAUUUCUGAAAUUGUUUUAUAACCAACAAAGUCUUACAAUACUGCAGGUCAGGUGAGAGUUGGGGUCAGUUGUCACCGAAUACCCACAUAUGGACCUGGUUAUUACUCCUGGUGGAGCCAUAACUUUGUAAUAUUUCAGUCAAUACACCUUGUAAGGCCCAUUUGAGAAAAGGAUAUGCAUACUGAUUCUUUUCUGAAAAGCUUCUGUUGACACCAUCUGGUAAGAUUGAAAAAAGCACCUUCAUCUAAACUUGCAGAAUUGGGGGCAGUUGGUUGGAAGAAAGUUCUGGGCACAAUAAUGGUGUACUUUUAUGAAAUGCUCUAUCACCAACAUGCUUGAGGAAGGGGACAUAGAGGAUAAAAUUUUAAAUCUUUAUAUAUUUUCUAAAUAUCAUUUUAAUAUCUAUUUUUGUUUUUCUUCUUCUCUCCCUAAAUUCCAGGUAAUAAUCAUGCAUCCACACAGCUGCCAUUUGGUAGUGUUGUCUGAAUGGCUGAUGAAGAUGUAGUGUCCAAAUGAACUUUGGAGAGCACAUUAAAAAGAAAAUCUUUAUGGAAUUCUUCAAAAAUUGUUUCUUUAAAAAUGAGAU